RNAcentral lists this ribosomal RNA (184 nucleotides) under uncultured bacterium. RNAcentral's name for it is "partial 16S ribosomal RNA". It matches the Rfam family "Bacterial small subunit ribosomal RNA", at positions 1318 to 1500 of the family's 1533-position model. The record is from RNAcentral.
ACACGAAGCUGGAAUCGCUAGUAAUCGCGAAUCAGAAUGUCGCGGUGAAUACGUUCCCGGGCCUUGUACACACCGCCCGUCACACCAUGAGAGUCGAUAACACCCGAAGCCUGUGAGCUAACCGUAAGGAGGCAGCAGUCGAAGGUGGGGGUUGAUGAUUGGGGUGAAGUCGUAACAAGGUAGC